GGCAACCCUGACGGAGCAACGCCGCGUGUGGGAGGACGGCCUGUGGGUUGUAAACCGCUUUUCUCAGGGAAGAAGAACUGACGGUACCUGAGGAAUCAGCAUCGGCUAACUCCGUGCCAGCAGCCGCGGUAAUACGGAGGAUGCAAGCGUUAUCCGGAAUUAUUGGGCGUAAAGCGUCCGCAGGUGGCGAUUCAAGUCUGCUGUCAAAGCCAGGAGCUCAACUCCUGUCCGGCAGUGGAAACUGACCCACUCGAGGGUGGUAGGGGUAGAGGGAAUUCCCAGUGUAGCGGUGAAAUGCGUAGAGAUUGGGAAGAACACCGGUGGCGAAAGCGCUCUACUGGACCACACCUGACACUCAGAGGACGAAAGCUAGGGGAGCG
Molecule: ribosomal RNA, 380 nt
Filed under: uncultured cyanobacterium
Lineage: Bacteria; Bacillati; Cyanobacteriota
Description: bacterial SSU rRNA
Rfam family: Bacterial small subunit ribosomal RNA
Source: RNAcentral